Long non-coding RNA from Sitodiplosis mosellana (orange wheat blossom midge), 3586 nucleotides. RefSeq lists it as uncharacterized. NCBI's taxonomy places the organism in Eukaryota, Metazoa, Arthropoda, Insecta, Diptera, Cecidomyiidae. The transcript is spliced from 3 exons. The record is from RefSeq and is a predicted model, not a curated record.
AGAAUUGUCCACUUUUGUUUCCCACCAUCCGAAGUCGAAGUUCCCUGAGUGAAUUAUUUUUGGUAAUCAAGAUGAAAAUCUGUGCAGCAGUUUUGAUUAUAUUAUUGAUUGGAAUUGUUGAUUCGCAUAGUUUAGGCGAUACGCAUGGAUUCGAUUAUAUCAUUAAUGGACUAUUUACAAACCAUACUCCGAGCAUGUAUAUGGAGUUUCAAUACAUUAUAUUUGAUCCGGAUUGGCCAUGUCACAUUGCGGUAAAUGACCCAGGGAGUGGAUGGAACAAUGCGUACCAUGCAGCUAAUGGUUUUGAGACCUGUGAAUUUGCAGAACGAGCCAUGGAAUAUGAAAGACCAGUUAGAAUGUUCGGUAAAAAUUCAGAAGGAUGGGUAACUGGAGUGUAUGGCAUCGAAUAUGCUGGCAGAAAUUCCACAUUUAAACGCAGUGACAAGUAUGCGAAAUUUAAUGUUCCGGCCUAAAUAUAAUACAUGGAGGAUAAAAGGAUGUAAUACCAACUCAUUUUAUUAGAAGCACACAAUAAUAAAUAUUGCAAUUCGAUUGAAUACAAUUUCUUUUGUUCUUUGUUUUAUUUUGGUUUGCAGCUUGCAAUUGAAGACAACGAAACUUUUUUAAACUCAUGUUGUAAUUGACCUUGCAUGUAUCACGUAUUUAGGUAUUCAGAGCUUUCGUCCGUAUUUAUCCAUUUGAUAGUAAAUAUCCCAUCGAUGUUUCAUAAUCCUCCCUUACCAAUUAUAAGUUCGAGUCACACUUCUCACUUAUCUUUAUCUGAUCCCCUGAAACGCAAAAAUGAAAUAAGAUGGCAAUUUUGUGCGGUUUUUUUAAUUUUUUUUAUUAUUUUUAAUUUAGUUUGUAGUUUUACAGUUAAAGGUUGUUUUUUGGGAACUUUGAAGUGUUCAAUUUGACAUAUUUUAACAGAUAUAUAUGUUCUUUAUGCUUUCAUUUUGGUAAUAAAAUGUGUGUAUGUUCUGUUGCACCAAUGAGUCAACUGAUUUUCCAUUUAAUUGCAGUCGUUUUCUAUUAUCGAAUUUGGUUGGUUUGUUUUUCUGUCUAUUUGAACGAAAUGUUGAAAUUGAAUUGAUAUCGUAAAUAAAUACGUAUAGCAAACCAAAUUACAGUAGCAACGCUAAAAUCGAUUCGUCUAUAAGUGAAAAUGGCUUUAGGAGCUGCUGAGACAUCAUUGAAUGUUUUGUUGUAAUUGUGUUCAUUUUCAUGGUAACUUUCGCUUUGAAUUCGGCUAUUGAAGUGAUUUGAUUUCGUUAAAACAUUCCGCAUACAUUUGGAUUGGCUCGGUAGAUGUCGAGCAUUUUGCAGCUACUGUAUUUUCAUACUGGAAUCGGUUUCUAUUGCAUCAGAAUCCAUUUGCUUUAUCAUAUCAUUAUAAUAAUAAUUUUUAUUUUCGUGUGAAGUAUCCUAAAACUGCGUCGAUUAAAUACUUUCUAAUUGUAUGACAUUAUUCACUAUUAAUAUUUGUAUGGUUUUCUGUUGUUGUUUGCUUCAUUCCAUCAUGUUGUUUUAUAUUCAAUUUCAUGAUUCUCAUUUACGAUAUUGUACUUUUUUUUAAAACACACAAAUUACAUACUAAAAAAAUUUGAUUACUUUUUUGUUGUUUUUUGUCCGGAAAAGGUUUCAUCCUCAAUCGAAUUUCGAGUGGUGGCUGUUUUAAAACUACUGGGACACAAAAUUGAACAUUGAAGAGAUGUAAGCAUCGAAUGGAUUCUACGGUAAUUUUGUAAUUUAUAUCUUAAUCAAAAAUGAUGAAUGAAUAAAAAAAUGUCGAUGUUUUGUUUUGCCUUUGUCUACGAACGAACGAAAAAAAUGCAUUCAAAAAAAGCGUUUUCUUCUUUAAAAGUGAUGUUCGAUUUUUGCUAUCGUUAGAGUAAAAAUUACUUGAAUUAUUUGUUUUCAUUUUGUCAUAUAUUCACAUUUAAAAUUACGAUCAAAAAAAGCAAAAUGCCUAAAAUCGUUAAAAGGUGGUUCAAAUUGUUCAAGUCAUUUUUAAUUCGAUUGUAAUUUUUUUUAGUCUUUUUUUUCUAUCGAUCUGAUCGUAUUUUGUUUUUCUUGUGGUUAAUGAAUGAAGCCUGAUUUUGGUGUAUAUAUUCUGAUCUCUAAUUAGCCGUACGAAUUCAGUUGUAUCAAUUGGUUGUUAUUUCAUUUGCAAUUAGGGGAGUGUGUUUAACUUAAGAAAAAGUCGAAUUAAAUACUCUUCAAUUUGAAUUACUUCAUCUGUUUGUAUAAUAUUUUCAAUUUGAGUCAUGUGCAAAUCUGUUUGUUUGUGUGUAUGUAUGUAAAUUUAAAUGUGUCUCUAAAAUUGUCAUUUUGUUUUUCAUUUAUUUGCAAUAGAUACUGUGUGUAAACUAUUCAUCCGGCUUCUGUUCUCUAUUCAUGCCAUACGUGUUACUCCAAUCGCCGAAGGUAAAAAGAGCCAACAGUGUCUGUUGUUCGUCAUAAAUCCAUUGUUUUGUACACAAUACUGUUUCAUUUUAUUUAGAUCUGUUUAUUAUUCAUGCUUCUUAAUUUCAUUUCGCCUCCAAAUGCAGUAAUCAUUUUACAUAAUAAUAAUGUUAAAUAUAAUAGAAUAGCAAUAAUCCAAGUAACAACAUGAAUCUAUUCACCCUUAUCUCUCUCGUUUUCAUAAAUAGAUAAAAUUAGAUUGUUUUUCUUUUAAAAAUGGUUUCAAGACUUGAAUGUGGUUGACAAUUUGAACGAACGAUGGCACACAUAUAUUCGUCUCUAUCCGCAUCGAGUAAAUGUUUCAUCGUGCUAGAAUUCGAUGACACGUCUAAUUUUAAGCUCAAAAUGUUGAAUAUUCACGUCGUGGUUGUGUUUUACUCACACAAUCAAAACGUUUCUAUUUGAGUUUGCCUAUGGUAAUUUAUAGCCAAAUGAAACAUUUAAUCGACCAUAAUCAUUGACAACCUCAUAGCGGACGUUAGCAUUAUACUAAAAACAGUGUUCAACUUUUGUAUUUAAUCGAUAUUUUUUCUAAAUGAAAAAAAACAAAUUCUGCAGAGAAGUCAACUGACAGGACGAAAUGGGAUAAAAGUGGAAAUUGAUUCGCUCAAAUGAAGUAGAGGAGAGAGAAAAAAAGAACAGAAAAAAAAACUUAUCGCUACAAAGCUAAAAAUAACAGAUCGAAGAAAAUGUGUUUCAUUUCUAAUUUAGGUAUAAAAAAAUGCAAUUUUUGUUUCAAUUCUUGUUCACUUCUGGUGCAUUAGCCGCUUCUCCGCUGCUCUCAUUCCCAUUAUCUUUCAAAAAACGAACAUAUCUCGAUGUGGGUACACUUGUUUCAAUGUGGGAGAGAUGGGAGAGGGAUUGAGAGAAAAAACGAUGCAAAAACAUUUUCAUUUUUUUUUUGGUUUACUUACAAAUUAUUAUGAAUAUAUUUUAUAUCAAUAGACAGAUGCCUUAGUUGGUAGGAAAGAAAUGUACCGGGGUGUGGUUAAAAAAACAAAGUCUUUAAAAGUUGGUUAUUGGAAGAGAAUCGAUUGAUUGAUUGGUUAAUUCAAAUAGUCUUUUCUCUUGAAAAAAAUAUCAUUAACAAAAAAAAGUUUAUUAACAUUUUCGCUUGCGA